AUUGAACGCUGGCGGCAGGCCUAACACAUGCAAGUCGAACGAGUGGCGGACGGGUGAGUAAUGUCUGGGCAACUGCCUGAUGGAGGGGGAUAACUACUGUAAACGGUAGCUAAUACCGCAUACCAUCAGAUGUGCCCAGAUGGGAUUGGCUAGUUGGUGGGGUAACGGCUCACAAAGGCGACGAUCCCUAGCUGGUCUGAGAGGAGGACCAGGCACACGGGAACUGAGACACGGUCCAGACUCCUACGGGAGGCAGCAGUGGGGAAUAUUGCACAAUGGGCGAAAGCCUGAUGCAGCAAUGCCGCGGGUAUGAAGAAGGCCUUCGGGUUGUAAAGUACUUUCAGCGGGGAGGCGUUACCCGCAGAAGAAGCAACGGCGAACUCCGUGCCAGCAGCCGCGGUAAUUC
RNAcentral lists this ribosomal RNA (406 nucleotides) under uncultured bacterium. RNAcentral's name for it is "partial 16S ribosomal RNA". It matches the Rfam family "Bacterial small subunit ribosomal RNA", at positions 30 to 526 of the family's 1533-position model. The record is from RNAcentral.